UAACACUAACUGGAGGACCGAACCGACUAAUGUUGAAAAAUUAGCGGAUGACCUGUGGCUGGGGGUGAAAGGCCAAUCAAACCGGGAGAUAGCUGGUUCUCCCCGAAAGCUAUUUAGGUAGCGCCUCGUGAAUUCAUCUCCGGGGGUAGAGCACUGUUUCGGCUAGGGGGCCAUCCCGGCUUACCAACCCGAUGCAAACUGCGAAUACCGGAGAAUGUUAUCACGGGAGACACACGGCGGGUGCUAACGUCCGUCGUGAAGAGGGAAACAACCCAGACCGCCAGCUAAGGUCCCAAAGUCAUGGUUAAGUGGGAAACGAUGUGGGAAGGCCCAGACAGCCAGGAUGUUGGCUUAGAAGCAGCCAUCAUUUAAAGAAAGCGUAAUAGCUCACUGGUCGAGUCGGCCUGCGCGGAAGAUGUAACGGGGCUAAACCAUGCAC
This 439-nucleotide ribosomal RNA is filed under the name Salmonella enterica subsp. enterica serovar Enteritidis. RNAcentral describes it as "partial 23S ribosomal RNA". It matches the Rfam family "Bacterial large subunit ribosomal RNA", at positions 757 to 1194 of the family's 2925-position model. Lineage: Bacteria; Pseudomonadati; Pseudomonadota; Gammaproteobacteria; Enterobacterales; Enterobacteriaceae. The record is from RNAcentral.